ACCUGGUGACGUCAGUUUGGCACGGUGCUGUUCCCUCGUCGCUGGUUUCGGCGUGGAUCGUGGACCUCGUGUUAGUAUCGGAUGCAUGCAUCACGCUCAGCUCCAUUCAGACAGGUAAAUGAUACGUUGGCGCUUGUGUGGUGCUGGCGCUUCUGGCUCUCCUGUCUAGUCGCGACGACGUGUUCGUGUUUGUAAACAAUAGUUGGUUCCGAUUAUCCUUCGCCGAUACUAUCGCUUGUCGUCUUGUCCAGUGUCGUGAGCUUCUAACGGUUGGAUUUUUGUGACUUCUUCGGCGAUCAGGAGCCCUCGCACUUCCCUCAGGAUUUACGUGCAUUGUGAUCAACGGUGCACCUUAUCGGAGAGAACCGGAAGAAGUUUCGAGGGUUCUCAUCACAGCGGUCAGGAUGGAGUCGUGGAUGGUGGACAUAAAACGAGUGAAAAUUCCGCGAC
Long non-coding RNA from Bemisia tabaci, 450 nucleotides. RefSeq lists it as uncharacterized. The record is from RefSeq and is a predicted model, not a curated record. Lineage: Eukaryota; Metazoa; Arthropoda; Insecta; Hemiptera; Aleyrodidae.